GAGUUUGAUUCUGGCUCAGGAUGAACGCACAAGACGUGCCUAACACAUGCAAAUCGAAUGAAAAUAAUUAAUUAUUGUUUUCAUGGUGAACGGGUGAGUAACACAUAAGAAUCAGCUUCUAGAUAAGGCAUAAAAGAGUAAUAUCUUGGUAAUUCCUUAUAUGCGCAGCAGUGCUUAAAAAGGGGAGUCCCGUCUAAAAACGAGCUUAUGCCUGAUUAGCUAGUUGGCGAGUUAAAAGCUCACCAAGGCGAAGAUCAGUAGCUGGCCUGAGAGGGCGGCCAGCCACAUUGGGACUGAGACACGGCCCAAACUCCUACGGGAGGCAGCAGUGGGGAAUCUUCUGCAAUGGGCGCAAGCCUGACAGAGCGGCGUCGUGUGAAGGAAGAAGGCCUGAAAUAGGUUGUAAACUUCUUUUACUGAGUAAUGAAUAAUGACAACGCAGUAAAAAAGUAUCGGCUAACUCCGUGCCAGCAGCCGCGGUAAUACGGGGGAUGCAAGCGUUAUCCGGAAUAACUGGGCGUAAAGCGUCUGUAGGUGGUUUAGUGUGUUCUUAGUUAAAUUCUGAAGCCUAACCUCAUGAAAAGUAAGAAAACUAUUAGACUUGAGUACGAUAGGGGUAAGAGGAAUUCUUCGAGAAGUAGUGAAAUGCGAAGAUACGAAGGAGAAGAUCAUAAGCGAAGGCUUCUUACUGGGUCGUAACUGACACUGAGAGACGAAAGCUAGGGGAGCGAAUGGGAUUAAAUACCCCAGUAGUCCUAGCUGUAAACGAUGGAUAUUCGGUGCCGGAAAUUUUAUUAGAACAUUUCGGUACCCUAGCUAACGCGNUUAAAUAUCCCGCCUGAGGAGUACGCUCGCAAGGGUGAAACUCAAAGGAAUUGACGGGGGCUCGCACAAGCGGUGGAGCAUGUGGUUUAAUUCGAUGCAAAGCGAAGAACC
This 936-nucleotide ribosomal RNA is filed under the name uncultured candidate division CAB-I bacterium. RNAcentral's name for it is "bacterial SSU rRNA". It matches the Rfam family "Bacterial small subunit ribosomal RNA", at positions 9 to 970 of the family's 1533-position model. The record is from RNAcentral.